This 118-nucleotide ribosomal RNA is filed under the name Leptospira perolatii. RNAcentral describes it as "partial 23S ribosomal RNA". It matches the Rfam family "Bacterial large subunit ribosomal RNA", at positions 2815 to 2925 of the family's 2925-position model. Lineage: Bacteria; Pseudomonadati; Spirochaetota; Leptospiria; Leptospirales; Leptospiraceae. The record is from RNAcentral.
CUGGGAGCAAUCCCCUGAAGAGCCCGGGAAGAUGACCCGGUUGAUAGGUCACAGAUGUAAGUAUGGCAACAUAUUGAGUCGAGUGAUACUAAUAGCUCGUGAGGCUUGACCAUAUUAC